This 429-nucleotide ribosomal RNA is filed under the name Chloroflexota bacterium. RNAcentral's name for it is "Chloroflexi bacterium partial 16S ribosomal RNA". It matches the Rfam family "Bacterial small subunit ribosomal RNA", at positions 355 to 776 of the family's 1533-position model. The record is from RNAcentral. Lineage: Bacteria; Bacillati; Chloroflexota.
UGGGGAAUAUUGCACAAUGGGCGCAAGCCUGAUGCAGCCAUGCCGCGUGUAUGAAGAAGGCCUUCGGGUUGUAAAGUACUUUCAGUCGGGAGGAAGGUGUCAAGGUUAAUAACCUUGGCAAUUGACGUUACCGACAGAAGAAGCACUGGCUAACUCCGUGCCAGCAGCCGCGGUAAUACGGAGGGUGCAAGCGUUAAUCGGAAUUACUGGGCGUAAAGCGCACGCAGGCGGUUGAUUGAGUCAGAUGUGAAAUCCCCGGGCUUAACCCGGGAAUUGCAUCUGAUACUGGUCAGCUAGAGUCUUGUAGAGGGGGGUAGAAUUCCAUGUGUAGCGGUGAAAUGCGUAGAGAUGUGGAGGAAUACCGGUGGCGAAGGCGGCCCCCUGGACAAAGACUGACGCUCAGGUGCGAAAGCGUGGGGAGCAAACAGG